GGGAUUAAGCUGAUUACCGGAGAGGAGCAGCUGGAGCAGCGGAGGAGCCCCCGGGGACUGAGUCGAUAAGCUCCUCGAGGACAAGCGGCUUUGCCUACGUGAUAGCAGCACCAUGACUCGCCUUCAGCGUGGACGUGCUGUUCAGCCUGCUGCCCCAGCUGCCUCCCCCCAAAAGGAGCUUGCUCUGACCCCCGCCUCGGCUUUGCUUCGUUCAGUGUCCUGCCAUUCCUCAUACCACGGCGCUGCUGCAGAGACCGAGGUUUGAAGGCAGUUUCAGCUGAGCUGUAGUUUUCCUUCCAUCCUGUAGCUGCAACUCUUACACUGAAUGCUGUUUCCAUCUGUUUCCCUCUGCUGCUUGACUUUAUAUACCCGUGUUCCUUGGGCACAUGCAAGGUGU
Harpia harpyja (harpy eagle) is the source of this 397-nucleotide long non-coding RNA. RefSeq lists it as uncharacterized. Lineage: Eukaryota; Metazoa; Chordata; Aves; Accipitriformes; Accipitridae. The record is from RefSeq and is a predicted model, not a curated record. The transcript is spliced from 3 exons.